UGGGGAAUAUUGGACAAUGGACCAAGAGUCUGAUCCAGCAAUUCUGUGUGCACGAUGAAGUUUUUCGGAAUGUAAAGUGCUUUCAGUUGGGAAGAAAGAAAUGACGGUACCUACAGAAGAAGCAACGGCUAAAUACGUGCCAGCAGCCGCGGUAAUACGUAUGUUGCGAGCGUUAUCCGGAAUUAUUGGGCUUAAAGGGCAUCUAGGCGGUAAGACAAGUUGAAGGUGAAAACCUGUGGCUCAACCAUAGGCUUGCCUACAAAACUGUUGAACUAGAGUACUGGAAAGGUGGGUGGAACUACACGAGUAGAGGUGAAAUUCGUAGAUAUGUGUAGGAAUGCCGAUGAUGAAGAUAACUCACUGGACAGAAACUGACGCUGAAGUGCGAAAGCUAGGGGAGCAAACAGG
Molecule: ribosomal RNA, 408 nt
Filed under: Verrucomicrobiota bacterium
Lineage: Bacteria; Pseudomonadati; Verrucomicrobiota
Description: Verrucomicrobia bacterium partial 16S ribosomal RNA
Rfam family: Bacterial small subunit ribosomal RNA
Source: RNAcentral